RNAcentral lists this microRNA precursor (59 nucleotides) under Drosophila ananassae. Its description in RNAcentral is "Dan-Novel-17_pre stem-loop". Lineage: Eukaryota; Metazoa; Arthropoda; Insecta; Diptera; Drosophilidae. The record is from RNAcentral.
CAUUUUGGACAUUCUGCUUUCAAUUCCCGCGGAACUGAAAGCCUAAUGCCCAGAAAGCG